GGGAGUGUCUGCUGGAGAUUGGCCGGGAUGUGUCAGCUGACCGGAGUUCGCGGCGAACCGUUCGCGAGAAGUUCGCGGACGGUUCGCGACAUCUCUACUCACUUACACUUCCUCGCAUCAUGUUAAUUGUAAUUAAUAAACGUAUUCAGGGACUAGAUGAGCCGUCGUGGCUGUCUUGGUGCAGAAGCCUAUUAUCUGCAAGCUGGAUAAGUCCAGAUCCACUAAACAGAAUGACCAGCUCUCCCUCUAUAAAGGGUCUGUGCUUGGCACUGGGGAUGGAUAACUUGUAUCUAAAUAUCUGCUUUUACAAACUGUUUGUUAAUCCUGUGACAGCGUCUCUGUCUAAUGCAUCUCUUUCAUUUUCUUACCCUUUGGUCACAAGAUUUUUUUUUUUUUUUCUUCUCCAUAAACGACCAGUAGAACAUUCUGAUGUCUACUAAUUUGCGUGACCAUACAUUGUGUUAACAAUAAAAAUUUGCAGCAUUGUCAGUGUGUGGAAUGAGAUUUAUUUUGUAUUUAUUGCAAUAAAAUAAGGAUGUUAGUUGUAUUUAGCAGACUGGGAUUGGG
Molecule: non-coding RNA, 567 nt
Organism: Pelobates cultripes (western spadefoot toad)
Lineage: Eukaryota; Metazoa; Chordata; Amphibia; Anura; Pelobatidae
Source: the annotation of a GenBank genome assembly